RNAcentral lists this long non-coding RNA (1217 nucleotides) under Brassica napus (rape). RNAcentral's name for it is "long non-coding RNA (BNAP_LNC006299)". The record is from RNAcentral. Lineage: Eukaryota; Viridiplantae; Streptophyta; Magnoliopsida; Brassicales; Brassicaceae.
UUUAGAUUUUUUGAUCAAUAUGUGGUAUUUUUAAAAUAAAAUACUCAAAACAUUUAUUUUAGGAAAAUUUUCAUUUUUAUUGAGUAAUAAUGUACAUUUGGGGUUGUAAUUUAGAAAUUAGAAUAACAAGAAUUUUUGUUGAUAGAUGAGUAUUCUUUUAGAUUUUUUUGAUCAAUAUGUUGUAUUUUUUAAAUAAAAUAAUCAAAAAAUCUAUUUUAGGAAAGUUUUCAUUUUCAUUGGGAAAUAUUGUGAAUUUGGGAUUGUGAUUUAGAAAUUGAGAUAACAAGAAUUUUUGUUGACUGAUGAGUAUUUUUAUAGAUUUUUUUAUCAAUAUGUUGUAUUUUUCUAAUUUAAUUCUCAAAAAAAUUAUUUUAGGAAAGUUUUCAUUUUUAUUGAGAAAUAAUGUACAUUUGGGUUGUGAUUUCGAAAUUAGGAUAACAAGAAUUUUUGUUGAUAGAUGGGUAUUCUUUUAGAAUUUUUUAUCAAUAGGAUGUAUUUUUAAAAUAAAAUACUCAAAAAAUCAUUUUAGGAAAGUUUUCAUUUUCAUUGGGAAAUAUUGUAAAUUUGGGGUUGUGAUUUAGAAAUUGAGAUAACAAGAAUUUUUGUUGAUAGAUAAGUAUUUUUUUUUAGAUUUUUUGAUCAAUAUGUGGUAUUUUAAAAAUAAAAUACUCAAAAAAUCUUAUUUAGGAAAGUUUUCAUUUUAUUGAGAAAUAUUGUACAUUUGGGGUUGUUAUUUAGAAAUAGGAUAACAAGAAUUUUGUUGAUAAAAGAGUAUUCUUUUAGAUUUUUUGAUCAAUAUGUGGUAUUUUAAAAAUAAAAUACUCAAAAAAUCUUAUUUAGGAAAGUUUUCAUUUUUAUUGAGAAAUAAUGUACAUUUGGGGUUGUGAUUUAGAAAUUAGGAUAACAAGAAUUUUUGUUGAUAGAUGAGUAUUAUUUUAGAAUUUUUUUAUCAAUAGGAUGUAUUUUUAAAAUAACAUACUCAAAAAAUCUAUUUUAGGAAAUUUUUCCUUUUCAUUGGGAAAUAUUGUAAAUUUGAGGUUGUGAUUUAGAAAUUGAGAUAACAAGAAUUUUUGUUGAUAGAUGAGUAUUUUUUUAGAUUUUUUGAUCAAUAUGCUGUAUUUUUAAGAUUUAAUUCUCAAAUAUUCUAUUUUAGGAAAGUUUUCAUUUUAUUGAGAAAUAUUGUACAUUUGGGGUUGUUAUUUAGAAAUAGGAUAACA